UACAGAGGGUGCAAGCGUUGUUCGGAAUUAUUGGGCGUAAAGGGCGUGUAGGCGGUCUGCUAAGUCAUGUGUGAAAUCCCUCGGCUUAACCGAGGAACGACGCAUGAAACUGGCAAGCUAGAGUACCAAAGAGGGGGGUGGAAUUCCCGGUGUAGCGGUGAAAUGCGUAGAUAUCGAGAGGAACACCUGCGGCGAAGGCGGGUUGCUGGGCUGACACUGACGCUGAGGCGCGAAAGCUAGGGGAGCGAACGGG
RNAcentral lists this ribosomal RNA (253 nucleotides) under uncultured bacterium. Its description in RNAcentral is "partial 16S ribosomal RNA". It matches the Rfam family "Bacterial small subunit ribosomal RNA", at positions 524 to 776 of the family's 1533-position model. The record is from RNAcentral.